GUCUAUGGCCAUACCACCCUGAACACGGCUGAUCUCGGAAGCUAAGCAGGGUCGGGCCAGGUUAGUACUUGGAUGGGAGAAAAGAACGUGGUAAAGGAAAGAAUCUUGCAAGAAUCUGUUGACAAGGACC
Molecule: ribosomal RNA, 130 nt
Filed under: Chinchilla lanigera (long-tailed chinchilla)
Lineage: Eukaryota; Metazoa; Chordata; Mammalia; Rodentia; Chinchillidae
Source: RNAcentral